AAUUGCUCUCCUUUCCUCCAAUGUGUUCACAGUCCUUCCCAGUUGUGUGUUGUUUGCAAACUUGCUCAAGGAACUUUCUAUGCAAGCAUCCAAAUCAUUAACAAAUGCAAAAGGCAG
Molecule: long non-coding RNA, 117 nt
Organism: Gavialis gangeticus (Gharial)
Lineage: Eukaryota; Metazoa; Chordata; Crocodylia; Gavialidae
Exons: 3
Source: RefSeq, a predicted model, not a curated record